This is a non-coding RNA of Pelobates cultripes (western spadefoot toad), 211 nucleotides long. The record is from the annotation of a GenBank genome assembly. NCBI's taxonomy places the organism in Eukaryota, Metazoa, Chordata, Amphibia, Anura, Pelobatidae.
CAGCACUACCCUUACAAUACCUUAUAUAUUGUUUUUAUUAUUUUAUGUAUUUCAGCAGUCAUGUAUCAUUGGUUAGUACACCUGACAGGACAAGCAGUCACAGUACUAUAAAGACAGAUGGUUUGUCAGUCUAAAUUAUUCCUUUCAUUCAUGACAGUUUCAUUUUUGUCACAGAAGACCCUAUCAAAAUGAGCUUUUUACACUAUUAUCA